GUUUUUUACCCUUAUAGAUUUGGGAUCGACGCGGUGGAGGUAGAGGAGGAGGUGGUGGUUACCGCGGCGGCAGCAGCAACUCCUUUGAGGUUCUCGACUACUUCCCGUUUAACUCGGGGCCCCUUUUAAGUUAAUCCCUAUUCCUACUUCUCUUAGGCCUCCAACGCGAACAAAGUUUCUUCCACUUGUUCUUCACCUUCUUCGACGGCCCAUGGUUCUUCCCCCUUCCCGCGCUGCACCUAUCCGACCAGGCCCUCCUCCUAGGGCUCCAACACGAACAAAGUUUCUUCGACUUGUUCUUCGCCUUCUUCGACGGCCCAUGGUUUUCCCCCUUUCCACGCUGCACCUAUCCGACCAGGCCCUUCUCCUAGGCCUCCAACACGAACAAAGUUUCUUCGACUUCUGUGUAGGCCACUCACUUGGCUUACGUAGUAGCUCCCUUAGCUAGACCCUUAGGUCACUCGGCGAGUGCCCAUUCUUCUCUUUUCUCCCCUUUCCGGUGUAGCACGACCAGCCCGUCCUACCAGGCCUCCAACGAGGACACCGUUUCUUCACCUUCGGUCUAGGCCACCGUUUCUUCACCUUCGGUCUCGGCCACGGUCUCCUGUAAGCCAACUCACGUAGUAACUGACAAUAACAACGAAUACGAGGUCUGUACGGUGUGUCCAUACCUGUAAACGAUUCCAGCUAAUGGAAAGAAGACGGAAUGUUCUCACUUCCCUUCCGUAUACUUACACUAGGGUUGUGUCACUUUCUAGACUAUUCAGCUUGGUCUACACCAAAUACAGAAAAGAAACUCACCCAAGUUUCUCUAUUCCUCUACAAAACAACCUAUUAAUUAUAUAGCUUUUUAUUAAGAUGAGUCAAUGAACAUUUAGGUCGUAAACAUAGUCUUUACAGUCUUCACUUUCAAUUCGCACGUCGAACACGAAAGAGUAAUUUGAAGACAUCACUAUUUUUUACCCGACCACAUUUCUUACGAAACCUCUACCACAAAAGAAGUGGAGUUGUGUUCUGUAGACUUCGAGGACUAUUAUACAUACAGAAGUGUUCCUAUCUACUAACACAGAUGAAGUCUUUAUAUUUCUAAUUACUAAAGGGGUUAUAACGGCUUCCGCUCGGUAACCUAGACUUUCUCCAACCUGGAAUAAAAACGGACUUCGAACACCUAUAAGUACCUCUCUGACGACAGUGUAUAGAUGGAAGUCUACAACAAGGUGUUUUAUUCUACUUGUUGUACGUAUGGGCAGGUCCUAUUGCCGCGUUACCUCUGUGUCCACGUCUGCACGUCAUCCCUGGGCAACACUCCUAAGAAAAGUCUAAUUCUGGGACGCAUCUGGAAAAAAUGACAGAGAACAACAAUAAUAGGGAACCAAAGAAGGAUAUCGGUUUCGCCUCGGACUGCAAAACCGUAACCGGCGCAGUCUUCUGGUACGGACAUGGAUCUGUGGUCCCCGAAUCCCGUAACAAGACGGGUAAUAAUAUUUCUGGCUUGUGGAGUCCCUCACAAGCCGCAGAGCUCAAUCCGUAAUAUACGUAGUCGAGGCUUAGUACAGAAACCAGUUUACAACCCAAACGGGCCGAGGACACAAAACGACGGAAUGCAAGGCAUAGUAGCCGAUUGUACCGUGGUCCUCUUGAUGACGCUAACACGGGGUCAAGCCGACCCGCUCGUGGAGUCAUCUCUUUCGGCUUUUGACUGACAGUACUAUAUCGCUCUCUGACCCGUUGGUGAGCUAGCUGGUGGCCUUACAAAUCUUAAGGGGCGAAACUGCUUCCUGGCAAAGGGCCAGUCCGUGUGUGCGCGGGGCUUGAGCCUCUUCACGCCACGGGGUUCCCCGAUAUAGCAUCGGGGUGGGAGCUCGAGGUGACCGAUUCACUUUCACUAUUUCGUAAUAUCAGGCCUAACGGAGCAAACGAUGCGAUGGUGGAGGAAUUGUUCUGGCUCUGCAGCCUAAUUCACACUUUUGCGCGAUAAAAACGCUUGUGGGGGCGUGGAACACGCACCCCCGACUUCGGCUUCUGACGUUAGAAAGUCCAAUAUGUUCACAUAUGCAUUUGCCGGCGUAUCCUCUUCAAAAUGAUGAACCCUGCGUGUUCAUAUUUUUCGUCAAUAUCGUAUUAGUAGCAAAAUGUUCGAUUUUGCAAGUAAACUUGCACUGUAAAAAACUCGUGACGCUGAGAUAAUGUACUCGCGGUGCGUAUUGAAGGGGCUUUAUCACGAGCCGCCCCUCGGCCAGAAGUAGGCUCGGGCCCCGCCGUUGUCGCCACCGUAGGUAGAGGCAGGUUACGCGGAAGUGCGCCCGUUCUCGGUAGGCGCGCGGGAGCUACGUCCGGCUGGCGAAGUAGAGGAACUAUACGCCGUGGCGGGGUUCCUUAACGACGUCAUUCGGCUUCAUCGAGCAGCGGAACCCGGAGAGACCGGUCUGUACUCGAUGCUACAGUCAGUACCGUUCAGGCUUGUUGGAUAAAUCGAGCCGGGUAAGCCGGUUGGCCAGCCAGUUGCCUUCACUCGCUAGGCCUGAUACCUUAACUCUGGUUUUAUCGAGAAGGCAGAACACUAGGAAGACCGAGGCCUUCACGAGUUGCCGUAGUCGGCGUGAAUGGCGAUUCAGGUAUAUGCCUAGGAGACCUGAGGUAUCGGCUAGUUUAACUCGUAUGAAAACUAGGUAUUUGGCCGCUGCGUCGUCUAUUCCGAACGGUCGGUGUUAUAGAGGCCGGACCGCGUCGAGGAGGGAGUACCGGAUGUAACGUCUCGCCCGUAGGAACCGGAGCCGCCACCGGAAGAAGUCCAGAAGGGCGAGACUAUCCGCGAGGAAAAGUUCUCGGAGUAACGCCAGCCGUCGUAGAAAGUGAAAAUGCCGGUUAAGCCGGUGGAGAAGGGACGAAUCCGUCUCUCGUCGGAAAAACCGAAAGUUGAGGAGCCGGCGGGAGCUCCGUCGGCACAGUGAGGAAGCCCGAACGAGGAAUCGAACUCGUUCAAGCCGGGCUUCCGAGAGGUGUCGUCGUCGUGGCAGACAUGUUGUCGUAUAUUAAAUAGUUCUCCUCCCGAAACUGGGGGAAUUAUUUCGCUGACGCCUGUUGAGUAAAUGGAACGCUGAGCAGUUCAGCGGCCAACUGUUCGCACUACAGGCGUAGGCGGUGCAGUUCAACGGCGUAAUUGAGCCGUUGAGGUGAUCAGGCCGAUGGGGAACCUGAUAGGCGGUGGACGUAUCCUUACCGCUGUAAUUAAUGAACGCUAGAACUAGGAGCCGUGCGACAGCAGAAGCUGUUGGAUGGCUCAGAGCCCCCGAUGAUAGAUAUGUCCCGCGUAAAAAUACACGUUUUGACAAUUAUCUGUUUCCCUACGCAGUAAAAGCACAUGGAGUUUGGGGCGGUCGUUUGAGUACCGCCGUAACGCGUUAGGCGAGAGCCGCCUGCUUUAGGAAGGUUAGUGGUAUGCGUAGUUGCGUGCCACUAGAAGACUUUACCUGCGGGAGAGUUCGUCUAAGAAGUCAAGAGGGCCGGCCUAUGAUCACACACGGCUUGAGAGACCGGGGAGGCCUGAGCCCCUAUGGGAGGCACUGCUAUGAAGUCCGAGCAGGCGAAAUAGACUGCCGCACUUUCUGCCUCCGCAAAGCGAGAGGUAGUAGAGGCCUUCUUCCAGGGGGCUUCUACUUGAGUAGACUCUUCCGACGUCUAGGCUGGACGUUCUAUUUGUAAAGCCAGUGGGUGUCUUCGUGUUUACCUCCAUAAAGGAAUGAUUAAUUGAGGGGGAAAAGUAUGAGUGCCGAGCGACCUCCCGACUAGGAAACCGCUACUAACACACAGGCCUGAGAGGGGCCUGCGGCCUGGGGGGCCGCUUCUAGAGAAAGGGGCGAAUCCCCGAAACCGGAGGCCUAGAAGCCUCCGCCAGGAGAAUAGGGGAACCUCCCUCCCCAAAAAUUAAGGGGGGAGAAGUCUGCGGGGAAACCCGCUUUAUAAUCGAGGAGAUAAAAGGGGUAGCGAGGGAAGACACCCGCGCUGGAGGUCGUAAGACUGGUCGUGCCCGAGGUCACGCCAGAAACCCUCCCCCCGGCCUGUGGAAUAGUCGGAACUAGCGCGGUGGGUGAGGACACUUCUCAUUACCCAGUCCUCCGCUUGAGAUCUUUCCGUCUAUUUGCCUUACAGGCCUGAGACUCGAUAAAUGGACUCAUAGGCCCGCUAACGCCGAAUCCGGACGCAGGAGCCGAUUAAGGCCUGUGCGGUGGACGCCAGGCUUCUUGUUGAACAUGUAGAGGUGCCCACAACGUGGGUACUUCACAACCUCUUAGGCUCCAGGGAGGCCCAACUUGAGGGUAUCUGCCUCUCCUGCCGCAAACGUCCCGUCUUCUACGGACUAAUCGUAUUGGACGUAGUGGUGCUGGUCUAACUAGAGGGAGCGAACCUCCAGAGCUUAGGCAGGGACGUCACUCCCGUGCAGAAGCCUGCCGGGGGUUAACUCGGGAACCAACUGGGUGCUGUAGUCAACCGCACCUCCAGGGCCCGCCUUACUUCCGCCGCCGAAAACGAACGACGGGAAGUCUCGCCACUAUAUCUUGGUGAGGACGACGGUGUCAGGCUCAAGGAGAACCUUCCUUGGGAGCCCGGUGCCCCGUAGCGGGAAAAACGAAUACCGGCGGGGCGGCGUGAGGCGAACUGCGGGGGGCUAGUAGAAGCCGAAGUGUAACUUCCAGAAGUCGGUGUCCGGCUUCACCCCUCACUGCGCCUCCUUCCGAAGCGUCUACUAUUACUUACGCCUCUAUACCUCCUACCUGAGGCCUCGGUUUAGUACUUUUAGGUCGGGCAUCAUCUUGUACUCGGGAGAGUGCUUCCCCAGGCAGCCCUUCGGAUUUGGGGCUACCUCCACCCUAUGCUUCUACUGUAUAAGCAGCCCGAGCCCCCACCCGUGCCGGACGGGAACCCGCCCGUUGGACACGCUUUGGAGCAUCCGGUCCAUGAACCGGAGUGCAUUGAAGUUAUACAGGAGGAGGCACUGCCUCCUCCCGUAGGUGGCCGGGACCUCCAGCCUCGGCCUGUACCAACUCCUAGGCUUCGCGAGCUUAGACUCCGAGACCCACAACCUUGACCCUCGCUCCUCCUCUAAGCUACGCUCUAACUUCUUGUUCUUGCUCGGAACCAGGAGAAUAUUUCCCCUUUUUAUGGUUCUCGGCAGAGGCACUGGUAAACCCUAAGUGGAAGCUAUCUCCUCCACACCGCUGCCCUUGCCAACCCAAUGGGUGCGUGCAUAAUUACUCUUAGGGCCUUAUUCCCCUUGUGCUAGAGACGAAGCUGUUCUGCACGGUUCCUUUGGCGAAGCGAUUUGCACAACUCCACUAUAUCAUUUUUUGCUAAGUUCGUCACCGAACCAUCGCCACACUACAGUGCGGCGUAUUAUGCAGUCGUCUAACUUGAUCACAUGUAAAAUAAGAGAGACGCCACCUUACACCUUAAAUAAAACGUCUCGGCCUGUGAUAGGACCACAAGUACUAGAAGAGACCUAAUAAGUUCCCUCCUUGGGCGGAACGUUACGGCUUGUAAUACGCGCGGCCUGAAUAGCAGUAACUUCGGAUCAAGUCCCCGAUGACUCCCUCAGGACCUGAUCCCCCACAGGCCUGUCGGCCUGAGGUUCUGAUGCUUCUAUGUUCUAACUUCUGAGGCAGGGCACAGGCCUACCCUGAAAGGAACCGCACCUUCCGUUCGAACCGCUAUGCCUAUACAUCUAGAGGAUGGUAACAUUGGCUGAGACACAUUGGGAUCGGAGGAGGCCACAGAUAUGUUUGGCCUCCCGAAAUCAGGCAUCCUGUGUUGUAUGUAAUGUUGUUAGUAUGGUAUCCGAUCGAAGAACCCAAAUCGGAGGAACUAGAGCACCAUCUAGGUGAGAACAUGAUGGGUAUAGUAGUUAUAAUUAGUUCGUCCUGCAUCCCAAAAUAGAGGUAGCUCUCCCGGGCUUGGACCCAUUUUGUAGCACAGGGAGCAGAGGACAAUGGUAGGCGGAUCUGCGUGUCAAGCCCUGGGGGAUGGGCUCUAGGCGGCCAAAACUGUGGCUGUCACGAGCAUGUAUCUUUGUACCCAUCUGUGAUACUGUUUUUUGUGAAUGGAUUGACUCCAGCGGUCAAUAUUGAGCCAUGACCCCCAAAACUUUGACCUCUUCUCUUUCCUCCUCUUGUUUCUCUUCAACCUCUUACUUCUCCUACUGUUAUUUUUCGAUUAUGUUUUUCCUCUCGCUGUCAAAGUACAAGAUUCUUUAACACUACAUGUAUAAGGACUCUUCCGACGUUUCCUACCUUAUACAGGUAAAGCAGACUGCACCACACUGAUGUAGGCAUGCACGAUGAAAGCUUUCAUAGAGAGGAAACACGUUUCGGCGUACCUUAGAAUAGAUUUCGGUUGUUCCACUUGAGUGGCCAAACACGCACGGCCGUACGGCGUGAAGUGACUAUCCAAGGAUUUCGAUUGGUUACUUUUACAAGUUUCUUGAACUACCACCUUCAAGGUCAUCUCACUAAUAAGGUCAUUGUUGUGUAAAAUCGUACCUAGUCAG
RNAcentral lists this ribosomal RNA (6541 nucleotides) under Triticum aestivum (bread wheat). Its description in RNAcentral is "partial small subunit ribosomal RNA". The record is from RNAcentral. Lineage: Eukaryota; Viridiplantae; Streptophyta; Magnoliopsida; Poales; Poaceae.